GUACAGGUCCGGCUCUUUCUCCGAGUUUAUUUCCUGUAUUGCUUACCACAACGCUGCGAGGAGCGUCCCAUGGCUGCUGCAGUUGGUGGAUUAACAAACCUCAGUUACCCUGGUCACCUUCCUCCCAGGGGAGGAGGAGGAGGUGGGAUGGUUGUAGCACCUUCAGAGCAGCGUGAGCUCCAGAACGCAGAAUCGGUGGGUAUCAUACAAGGCAGGGAGCCGAGCCCUUGCAGUUGGACGGCCCUCGGUUUGCAUCUUGACCCCGCCUCGUCUUGCUGGGUGGUUUCUCUAAGGUUUCGUGACCUCAGUCAGCGACAGGGAGCCACUAGAAUCUACUACACAGAAGUGCCUAAAAUAUUGCCAAGCAGAUAGGAUCCCGGCAGAAAGUGAUGCACCUCCCUUUCCCCGGCCCAGCUGUCUUAUCAGGGCCCUAGGAAGGGAACAUAGCAGGUGGCUGGAGAAGGAAUGGGGGGAAGGGAGCUUGCGUGGUAGCAGCAGCAGAGGCAAGGGAGGAGGUAAGCAGGCAGUACGCACCUGAAGUUGGCGACGUGGUGCCUUUCCCCCACCUGGAGUAAAGACCCCUCUAACGUCUGCGUCAGGGCAGCGCCGUGGGAGCAGAGCCAUGAGGACAGGGCAGGUGGUGGCAGAGUGAGGGUUAACCAGUGGUCCUUCCUGGGAGACUGGUGCUGCCAGGUUGGUUUCCCUUCUUUCUGAAUGGCAGCGGUGGCUGCCGGCUUCCUGACGCCGUUGCAUCCCGUGGGAGGGGAGUUGGGCACCCUGAAGCCCCUCAUCACCAAUUCCGGGGCUGCAGA
Molecule: long non-coding RNA, 812 nt
Filed under: Ursus americanus (American black bear)
Lineage: Eukaryota; Metazoa; Chordata; Mammalia; Carnivora; Ursidae
Description: lncRNA (ENSUAMG00000015120.1)
Source: RNAcentral